This 492-nucleotide ribosomal RNA is filed under the name uncultured bacterium. Its description in RNAcentral is "partial 16S ribosomal RNA". It matches the Rfam family "Bacterial small subunit ribosomal RNA", at positions 29 to 507 of the family's 1533-position model. The record is from RNAcentral.
AGUGAACGCUGGCGGUAGGCCUAACACAUGCAAGUCGAACGGCAGCACAGUAAGAGCUUGCUCUUACGGGUGGCGAGUGGCGGACGGGUGAGGAAUACAUCGGAAUCUACUUUUUCUUGGGGGAUAACGUAGGGAAACUUACGCUAAUACCGCAUACGACCUACGGGUGAAAGCAUGGGUUCUUCUGACCUUUCGCUAUUGAUUGAGCCGAUGUCGGAUUAGCUAGUUGGCGUGGUAAAGGCCCACCAAGGCGACGAUCCGUAGCUGGUCUGAGAGGAUGAUCAGCCAAACUGGAACUGAGACACGGUACAGACUCCUACGGGAGGCAGCAGUGGGGAAUAUUGGACAAUGGGCGAAAGCCUGAUCCAGCAAUACCGCGUGGGUGAAGAAGGCCUUCGGGUUGUAAAGCCCUUUUGUUGGGAAAGAAAAGCAGCAGGUUAAUACCCCGCUGUUCUGACGGUACCCAAAGAAUAAGCACCGGCUAACUACGUG